GGAGGUUAGCUUGGUCUCAAUUAUUAAGCACUUUACUUCAAAGGUACAAAUGAAAAAUGUUAAAUAUGAGGAGGUAACAGGUUAAUGGGUGCUAGUAGGUGCUUUUUCCCCUAUAUCAUCCAGGGAUUGUAAAAGACCAACUAUGUGACAUGGCAUUCGGCGGACUAAGCUCUUGGCAAGGUCGACCUUCGUCGAAUUAUAUCUUCAUCUUCAUGCGUUGGAUGGUAUGGCAAGGGUUUGACUUAAUUGCGUAUAACUAUUGCCCCCUAGAUUAAAGAUUAAAGAUAGAUUAUUGACUCAGGUUUAGCGAAUCUUUGGUGAGGCUUUAGAAGUUCUAGACUUCAAAAAUUAAUUCUCUGAAUCAUCGUGCCUCUUCAUUGAUUGUUCUUAGACAGCUCAACUCUAAUUGGGGUUUUUGAAACAACACUGUUUCGUUGUCACAAUUGUUUCCUUUUGUGGUUCAUUUUAGUCCCUUUGUGGAUCUGAAACUUUUAUUUGCUUCUACUUUUUCUUUGCACUUGCUCUUUUUCUUCUUUUGUUGUCUUUGGUUGAAAAAUUCCUUUUUUAUUUCUUGUUUUUCCAUUCUUACCAUUUUGUUCUUUAGAAUGGAUAUCAAUUUUUUGAAAUUCCAAACAGAGAAUGCUUUGGUGGCUAGGGAAGAACGAUCGUGUUCCUCUACCAUUGCAGGAAUGAUAAUAAUGUUGAAACUCCAUAUGUCUUAAACAUCCUCAUUACAAAUACAAGUUCUUAGUUACAUCAGCGACACAUCGGAUAAGCUAUGUUCUGGCUAAUGGAAGAUGCUUCCUUUACACCUAUUUGAAGCGAGUUUUCACUUACCCCUUCAUCCUUGGUUUGUUGAGAUGCUAUAGUUGUUCUACAUUUCUUCUGAACAAUUAUCAAAGAACUCUUGGC
RNAcentral lists this long non-coding RNA (912 nucleotides) under Gossypium barbadense (sea-island cotton). RNAcentral's name for it is "long non-coding RNA (GBAR_LNC001860)". Lineage: Eukaryota; Viridiplantae; Streptophyta; Magnoliopsida; Malvales; Malvaceae. The record is from RNAcentral.